Molecule: long non-coding RNA, 1915 nt
Organism: Symphalangus syndactylus (siamang)
Lineage: Eukaryota; Metazoa; Chordata; Mammalia; Primates; Hylobatidae
Source: RefSeq, a predicted model, not a curated record
UGAUACAGGAUCCUUAAUAGGCGUGGAAGUGUUCACCAGACAGAGAGGUCCUGCCCUUGCCGAUCUGAGCUGGUUCUGUGUUAGAGACUCCGUGGGCGUCUGUUUGACAGGAUCUGCCAGGAGCUGAAGAAUAACUUCCCUGAUCUGGAAGAGCAGAUCUCAGAUAUUUUGCACAUUUGCAGAACCUACCCCUAGGAGUGGUAGAAAACCACAACCAAAGAAGCAAAUGGAGACGCAGAAUAUCAGAUGAACGGCAGCUACGCAGGAAAAUAAAGCAGUGCAGCAGGAUUGGAGGUGCUUGUGGUGAGAGGAGGCAGGGAGUUGCUUUUUACAUGGGGAGAUCAGGGAAGGCCUCAGUGAGGAGGUGAUAUUUGAAUAGAGAGAAACCUGGGAGAGGAAAGAGAGUGAGCCCUAUUGAUAUAUAAGGGUAGAAUGACUCUGGCAGAGUGGUUAGUGCAAAGGUCUUGUGGCAGGAAACACCCUUUUGGACUUCCAUUGUGAAUGUCUUGGGACACUUGAUGGUGUCCCACAGGUCUCUGAGGCUUUGUUUGUUUAUUUAUUUAUUUAGAGACAGGGUCUUGCUCUGUUGCCCAGGCUGGAGUGCAAUCAUGGUUCACUGCAGCCUCAAACUCUUGGGAUCAAGUGAUCCUCCCACCUCAGCCUCCUGAGUAGCUGGGACCACAGUUGCACACCACCAUGCUCAGCUAAUUUCUUAUUUUUUUUUAGAGAUGAGGACUUGUUUUGUUGUCUAGGCUAGUCUCAAACUCUUGGAGUCAAGCAAUCCUCUCUCCUUGGUCUCCUAAAGUGCUGGGAUUAAAGAUAUGAGGCACUGGCCAAUAAAUCAUUUUAAAAAAUCAUUUUUUCCCUUUCUGUUAUGGACUGAGUGUAUGUGACCCAGACCCCAAAUUCAUAUGUUGAAACCGCAGUCCCUAAUGUGGUGGCAUUUGGAGGCAGGGUCUUUGGGAGGUAGUUGGGUUUGAAUGAAUCUCGAGGUGGAGCCGGUGAAGGAACUGGUGCUUUUAUAAGGAGAUGAAGGGACCAGAGCUCUCUCUGUCAUGUGAGGAUAUGGCAAGGAAGCAGCUAUCUGCAAGCUUGGGACCAAAGCUAAGAAAAGACUAUGCUGCCACUCUGAUCUCAGACUUUGAGCCUCGAGAACUGUGAGAAAUACAGAGUUACUGUUGAAGCCACCCUGUCUGUGGCAUUCUGUUAUAGCAGCUGUAACUGACUAAGACAGGUUCCCCUCUUCAACCUGGAUAAUCUCAGUGGACCUACCCUCAAAUCUGCUGUUGAGCCACUGAUUGGGCUUUCUUUAAUUCUUUGAACAUACAGUUGUCCUUUGAUAUCUGCGGGGGAUUGGUUCCAGGACCCCUGGGGAUACCAAAAUCUGUAGAUGCUCAAAGUCCGAUAGUUGACCUUUCGUAUCUGUGGAUUCAACUGAUCGUGGAUUGAAAAUUGCAAUGCGAGAAUGUGGAUAGGAGGACUGACCGUACGUUAUUUGUAAUAGCUGACUUGACAUCUUUAUAUAGUCAGUUCAACAUGUGGGCCUCCUCAGGGACAGUUUCUGUGUGUCUUUUUCCCCCCACGUAUGGGCUAUAUGUCGCGUAUGUUUUUAUGUCUCCUCGUUUUUGCUGUUGAAAACUGGAUAUAUGACAUACCAUAAUGUGGUUACUCUGGAAAUCACAUCUCCCCAGGCUUUGUUGUUUCUGCUGUUUAUUAAAUAACUUCCCUGGAUAAAGGGUGUAAAGUCUAUGUUCUUUGUCACAGAUGACUACGAGGAGUUUCUGGGAACUUCCAGACAGGUUAGACAAUAACAAUCUCUAAGAGUAGGACUUCGGGGAGUUUCACUCCCUGGCUCCCCUGUCCAGCGGCUGCCAGCUUUCUGCAUUUACAGCUACUGUGGAGCUGGGAAGAAGGA